Molecule: long non-coding RNA, 897 nt
Organism: Armigeres subalbatus
Lineage: Eukaryota; Metazoa; Arthropoda; Insecta; Diptera; Culicidae
Exons: 4
Source: RefSeq, a predicted model, not a curated record
GGAAAAUCCAAACGUUAUCGUCACUCGUCUACAACCAUUUGCCGGUGUCGGAAGGCAAAAGGAAACGUGAUCGCGUAUACCGUUUAGUGAAAUUUCCCAACUUGCCACAAAAGGCGAAGAAAAGUGUGCCGGAUCACUUUCAAGUGUCCGGGCUUCGAAAGAUUUGCAUCGUCUGCGGGUGGAAACCACGGAAAAAGGCAGCACACACGUGCAUUCCACGGAUCACGGAAGUACGACGAGAGUGAGACUUUCCAUUCGCCCGGAGGAACGAACCGCGCUGACCGGUGGCGAGAGGAACAAAUACGCCGCGAUAAAAUAAGUCGUGUACGGCAUCACACCUUGGCGCCACCACUCAAAGAGCACACAUCCGGAGCAAGCACGAACCCCGCAGGGGUUCUUUUAAAGACUCGGUUUUUUCAUCGGCCAACACAAAGGCGUGGCCCAGCAACCACAUUGGUCAACACGGAAAUCCGGAUCAGGUGUUAUUCGGUUCCACAGCAGGAACGAAGCAGUUGCGGCGUAGCGAGCGGCGAAAGGUGUGUGGAAGACUCGACGGAAGGAGGUGCCUCGGAGGGACCCCAUCCAGCUACCCGGUCGCACUGGACGGCCAGAGGGGUCUCCAGCAGAGGCAUUGACGUGGCGGGUCGGAAGCAGAUCGGGAGUGACGUGCGUGGGAUGGUAAUGCGACAGACGAGUUGCCGCGGCGGUAACAGGACCGCCAAGAAGCUGGUGCAGGGGGACGCCCCGAAGACCGUGAGUAACACAGUAUGUGCUUUGUGAGAUAGGAAGAUAGAGAAAGAAGAAGGCAGAGAGAAAGGAGGAGAAGAGGGAUGAAUAGGAGGUAGGAAGUAACAGAGGAAAAUGGGUGCAUUACCCUAAAUACAUGUAUUAAAUUGA